AGUGGGGUGGAGCAGUGGUAGCUCGUUGGGCUCAUAACCCAAAGGUCGUAGGUUCGAAUCCUGCCUCCGCAA
RNAcentral lists this transfer RNA (72 nucleotides) under Porphyromonadaceae bacterium. RNAcentral describes it as "tRNA-Met". It matches the Rfam family "tRNA". Rfam says of the family: Transfer RNA (tRNA) molecules are approximately 80 nucleotides in length. Their secondary structure includes four short double-helical elements and three loops (D, anti-codon, and T loops). The record is from RNAcentral. Lineage: Bacteria; Pseudomonadati; Bacteroidota; Bacteroidia; Bacteroidales; Porphyromonadaceae.